CCUUCCAGAUGUAGAUGUAGAAUGCAUGGGUGUACUCAGGAUUUUAUGAAGAGGGGUGUGAGAACAGCAACCAGUGUUGCAGGAACAGCUGCACCACACUCCCAGCUUCCUACCCCCAACAGGAUGAGCAGACUAUGCCAUGGGAGCAGCAGCCAGAGCCUUUUUAAAGUCCUUGAAUCAGAUAAGAAACCAUGUGCCUGGGCUAAAGAAAAUUUGGAACAUCCAGAGGAUUUGGAAGAUUAGUGACUUAGUGUACUGACAUAUUUUCAACUUCUGACUGAACACGCUAUCAGUCGUAUCUGCAGACGUCAAUCGGCGUUAAGUUUCUACUGCAUUUUAUUCCUAUCAAACCUCCAAAAUUAGUUAGCUGAUGUCCAUUCCUGAUGUCACAUCUCAAUAGUAUCAGCCCUGUAAUUGGAACUAUGCAGCUCACUGGAGUCAAGGAAGUUACUGCAUGCAGUUUCUCCAAAGCAUCCACGUCAUUCUGAAUCCUCUUCUUGGCCACCAAAGUGUCUGCUACAUCACCCAACUUGGUACCAUCAUAAUUCCAUCCUCCAAGUCAUUAAUGAAGAUAUUAAACAGUACCAGACCUAGGCCAGACUUGGGGAACCUACUCUGUUUCUCUCCUCCUCCUCCCCGCUCAAGCCCUGGCCACUAGCCAUACACACAUGCUGCCCAUAUUCUUCAUCCGCACUAGCUCACAAUCCCAGUUGCCCCCUCCAGGCUCCAAAUCCAAAUUAUAGUAUGGAAAGCAACUAUAGUGAAGUGUGCUACGUGAGAGCAGCUGAGUGGGUUCUACCACUCCCUUUCCAACUACGUUAGGUCACCUGCCCCAUGCUGCACCUGAUAGCACUAGUUAUCAAAUCCUAAACAAUAAAUAUACAGAGGUGGAGUUAAAAAGGAGACACACAGUAUAAACCCAUUAAAAUGAGUUCCCCAUGGCAGCAGGAGAAGAGUUUGUUAAAGUAUCCUUCAGUCAAUUGCAGCAUCAAAAUGAACAAAUCAGUCCCUGUUAAGAUGGUUAAAAGCAGGAGUGGGGGUGUUUUAAAUAGGGUUUGUUAGAAUGAGGUUGUCUGGUAUUUCUAAAAAUAGUGAGGCCCUUAUAGAGUUCUUUCUGGUUAGGGGGUCCUCAUUGGGCUUGAUGAACUAAAUACUCUUAGCUAGACAGCCCUAUCAGUAGCUAUGGAAUAAUACUGACUGACAUUUUACAAAUUGAGAACUGAGGCGCACACACUUUUCAGUUACUUGCCCAAGUUCACAAACAAGCAGAAAAUAUGGGUUUCUCACAGAAAUGGGAGUAGAAUCAAUUGGUUCCAACAAGCAGUUCUGUGGUUUAACCACAAGGCAUUAGUUUUACUUCAGUCUAUAAAUCAGAAAAGAACAAAAAUGUUUUAAAGUCUGGCCCUUCACUGCUUUCCCUAUUCCUCUUUAGGUUGUGUUGAUGUCUUUACUGGUUGCAAGCAAAACAAGUAAUGAUGGGGUUUAUACCUUAGUGAAUAGAAAAGAACUAUUAUUCAAAUGCACAUUUUCAAUCUAUUUGUAUACAAUCACUUAUUCAAGCCAUUCUUUAGGAUAUUACCCAUAUUUUUCUAAACAAACUUUGCAGCUCACCUUUAAUCAAUGAAGCUCUUAUUCCUUCUUUCUGACACAUACCACUGCCAAGGCAUUAACAGUCCACAGCAGAAAAAGUUAAAUGAACUCCAGAUUCUAUGUUCUGCCAUAUCCUUAUAUCUUUUUUUUCCCCAAUAAUUGCUAAUUGCCUGUACCUAAGUAAUGGAGCAUAUAAUACUAGAUGUUUCUUUACUGCUAAAUAUUUAAAGAACUCUAAAUGAUUUAAUCUCUCGAGCCCCCACUGAAUGUCUGUAAACCAUCACCCUGAAAGGCAAUUGUGUGUAAUGCAAACAUGUCCGAGGAAAUGCAUGCAAGUGUAUAACCUAUUUGUCUUUUGAAUCAAAUGCUUAAGAAUCUAUCUUGAUGGAAAAGCUGCUACAAAUAACAUGUCCAUGUACCGCUGAAGGAGCCCAUUUCUCUAUUGAAAAGUGAUGACAUUAAAUUGAACCAGCUCCCAGUAUUCCUCUGAAUUAUUUUUACUGAGCCUGCAGUGCGAGAAAAGGAAAACAAAUAGUAGAACUAGGGGGUUUAAAGACCAUAAGAGACACAUAUAUUUAAUGAAUUUGCCACACAUUGUAAUAGAACUGCAGAGAGUGAUUUUUAUAUAUUGUAUGCUGCAGAACUUUUUGAUAGAAAAGAAACCAAGUAUCAGCAACAUAAUCAGCUGUUACAUUGUGCUCUGGAGUUGGAAUAAGGGGAGGCAAAAAUCAGGAAAGGUGACCAUUUGAGGAGAAUCAUAGUUCAGGGAUUGUAUGAAAAGCAACAUUGUUUG
Alligator mississippiensis (American alligator) is the source of this 2383-nucleotide long non-coding RNA. RefSeq lists it as uncharacterized. NCBI's taxonomy places the organism in Eukaryota, Metazoa, Chordata, Crocodylia, Alligatoridae. The transcript is spliced from 4 exons. The record is from RefSeq and is a predicted model, not a curated record.